RNAcentral lists this long non-coding RNA (712 nucleotides) under Nicotiana benthamiana. Its description in RNAcentral is "long non-coding RNA (NBEN_LNC037528)". Lineage: Eukaryota; Viridiplantae; Streptophyta; Magnoliopsida; Solanales; Solanaceae. The record is from RNAcentral.
UAUUGACUUUGCAAGUGCAUAUUGUUCGGAUAUUGAUUCUGUUAAUCUCAUGGGGUUUAUGUCAAACAUAUUUCAAGUGCCACGCUAAUUUGUCUUUGACAUACUUUAUUUAUAUCCUAUCUUCCCCUGUGCGGUGCGUCUUAUUUACCAAAUGACAAAAAUGCCAUAGAGUAUAUCCUAAAUCCCAGAUGAUGAGGAAGUAAUGAAAUACUUCAAGCUUUACAUGCCACUUUCUGCUGUAUAAACAGCUAUCGCAAAAUUGCAACUUAAAAGCCAUUUAGCAGAAAAGCCAUUUUGCAGAAAAAUCUCAAUUGAAUGUGGGAACUGUCCUCUUUUUAUCAGUUAGAAUGUGUGAACCGUCUUGAAAUGUAAAAAUUGGAAUAACAGCUUUAAUACCUCUGCAAGGAUAAGGUUGAUUUGAUUGUCAUAUGCUGUGAGGAGAUUCAAGGCAUCUGAGCAUGAUGGAAAAUCCAUGAUAAGGUCGUCUUCUUUUUCGUUGACUAAACUAAUGUUGCAUUCUUCAAAGCGCUGUUGAAGAACUUGACAUCCGUGUAGCAGCUUCUGCCAAGAUGUCCUUGCUUGUUCAUUAGAUUGACUAAAUUAAUGUUGCAUUCCUCAAAGCGCUGUUGAAGAACUUGACAUUCAUGUAGCAGCUUCUGCCAAGAUGUCCUUGCUUGUUCAUUAGCUUGCCUCUCUUGUUCAUAAAGUCUCU